Molecule: non-coding RNA, 211 nt
Organism: Pelobates cultripes (western spadefoot toad)
Lineage: Eukaryota; Metazoa; Chordata; Amphibia; Anura; Pelobatidae
Source: the annotation of a GenBank genome assembly
CCUAGCCCAGCAGCGGCGGUUCGUGGAGUCUGCAGUACUUAUGGUGUCUACGCAGUAGUUAUGGUGUCUACGGUGCUGAUGGUCCUUUGGUGAGCGCUAGGAGCAUCCUUUCUACGGUCCAACUUCCAGCCAGCCUGGAGGCAACCGUAACACUACUAAAGGAGGGUGUUCCACAUUAUUAAGCAGAGCACCAUUUUCAUGCAAUAUGGGG